UACGGAGGGGGUUAGCAUUGUUCGGAAUUACUGGGCGUAAAGCGCGCGUAGGCGGAUUGUUUAGUCAGAGGUGAAAUCCCGGGGCUCAACCCCGGAACUGCCUUUGAUACUGGCAGUCUUGAGUUCGAGAGAGGUGAGUGGAAUUCCGAGUGUAGAGGUGGAAUUCGUAGAUAUUCGGAGGAACACCAGUGGCGAAGGCGGCUCACUGGCUCGAAACUGACGCUGAGGUGCGAAAGUGUGGGGAGCAAACAGG
RNAcentral lists this ribosomal RNA (253 nucleotides) under uncultured bacterium. Its description in RNAcentral is "partial 16S ribosomal RNA". It matches the Rfam family "Bacterial small subunit ribosomal RNA", at positions 524 to 776 of the family's 1533-position model. The record is from RNAcentral.